AUUGAACGCUGGCGGCAGGCUUAACACAUGCAAGUCGAACGAGUGGCGGUCGGGCGAGUAAUGCUUGGGAAUCUAGCUUAUGGAGGGGGAUAACUAAGGGAAACUGUAGCUAAUACCGCGUACAAUAGGAUGAGCCCAAGUAGGAUUAGGUAGUUGGUGAGGUAAAGGCUCACCAAGCCGACGAUCUCUAGCUGGUCUAGGAGGAUGACCGGCCACACGGGGACUGAGACACGGCCCAGACUCCUACGGGAGGCAGCAGUGGGGAAUAUUGCGCAAUGGGGGCAACCUGACGCAGCCAGGCCGGGUGAAUGAAGAAGGCCUUGGGGUUGUAAAGAUCUUUCGGUGGCGAGGCGUGAACUACAGAAGAAGCACCGGCUAACUCGGUGCCAGCGGCGGCGUAAAUC
This 404-nucleotide ribosomal RNA is filed under the name uncultured bacterium. RNAcentral describes it as "partial 16S ribosomal RNA". It matches the Rfam family "Bacterial small subunit ribosomal RNA", at positions 29 to 525 of the family's 1533-position model. The record is from RNAcentral.